This 460-nucleotide ribosomal RNA is filed under the name uncultured bacterium. Its description in RNAcentral is "partial 16S ribosomal RNA". It matches the Rfam family "Bacterial small subunit ribosomal RNA", at positions 338 to 795 of the family's 1533-position model. The record is from RNAcentral.
CCUACGGGAGGCAGCAGUGAGGAAUAUUGGUCAAUGGACGAGAGUCUGAACCAGCCAAGUAGCGUGAAGGAUGACUGCCCUAUGGGUUGUAAACUUCUUUUAUAUGGGAAUAAAACGUUCCACGUGUGGGAUUUUGUAUGUACCAUAUGAAUAAGGAUCGGCUAACUCCGUGCCAGCAGCCGCUGUAAUACGGAGGAUCCGAGCGUUAUCCGGAUUUAUUGGGUUUAAAGGGAGCGUAGGUGGAUUGUUAAGUCAGUUGUGAAAGUUUGCGGCUCAACCGUAAAAUUGCAGUUGAAACUGGCAGUCUUGAGUACAGUAGAGGUGGGCGGAAUUCGUGGUGUAGCGGUGAAAUGCUUAGAUAUCACGAAGAACUCCGAUUGUGAAGGCAGUUCACUGGACUGCAACUGACACUGAGGCUCGAAAGUGUGGGUAUCAAACAGGAUUAGAUACCCGGGUAGUC